GACAGAGGGUGCAAACGUUGUUCGGAAUUACUGGGCGUAAAGCGCGUGUAGGCGGCCCUGCAAGUCGGAUGUGAAAUCCCACGGCUCAACCGUGGAAGUGCAUUCGAAACUGCAGGGCUAGAGUCCUGGAGAGGAAGGUGGAAUGCUUGGUGUAGAGGUGAAAUUCGUAGAUAUCAAGCGGAACACCGGUGGCGAAGGCGGCUACCUGGACAGAAACUGACGCUGAGGCGCGAAAGCUAGGGGAGCGAACAGG
RNAcentral lists this ribosomal RNA (253 nucleotides) under uncultured bacterium. RNAcentral describes it as "partial 16S ribosomal RNA". It matches the Rfam family "Bacterial small subunit ribosomal RNA", at positions 524 to 776 of the family's 1533-position model. The record is from RNAcentral.